Molecule: ribosomal RNA, 484 nt
Filed under: uncultured bacterium
Lineage: Bacteria
Description: partial 16S ribosomal RNA
Rfam family: Bacterial small subunit ribosomal RNA
Source: RNAcentral
GACGAACGCUGGCGGCGUGCUUAACACAUGCAAGUCGAACGAUGGACUCGGAGCUUGCUCCGGUGGAUUAGUGGCGAACGGGUGAGUAACACGUGAGUAACCUGCCCUUGACUCUGGAAUAACUGCGGGAAACUGUAGCUAAUACCGGAUACGACCCUCGGCGGCAUCGCCAGGGGGUGGAAAGAAUUUCGGUCAAGGAUGGACUCGCGGCCUAUCAGCUAGUUGGUGAGGUAACGGCUCACCAAGGCGACGACAGGUAGCCGGCCUGAGAGGGUGACCGGCCACACUGGGACUGAGACACGGCCCAGACUCCUACGGGAGGCAGCAGUGGGGAAUAUUGCACAAUGGGCGCAAGCCUGAUGCAGCAACGCCGCGUGAGGGAUGACGGCCUUCGGGUUGUGAACCUCUUUUAGUAGGGAAGAAGCGAAAGUGACGGUACCUGCAGAAAAAGCACCGGCUAACUACGUGCCAGCCGCCGCAGUAA